AUGGCAUCAUCCUCAUGGAGAUAUUGGACUGAUCAUGACCGGAAAAAAUGGCGGGAUGCCCUCACAGAUAAAGAUUUUUGGCUGUAUGGAUACGAAGGCACGGUGGAAUAUUAUAACUCCUUAGUCAUUCUUGCCAUAUCCCCCGCGGGUAAAGGCUUGACCUGGAACGUAGGUGUGGGGCCCAAGGCAUCAUUUACACAGGCCAUAACGAACCACAUCUUUUCUGUGAGAAACUGUAUGUAUGGUGGGUAUAAACACAUGAUAAAAGUGGAUCUGAAUCCGACACCCACAUCCGAUGAAGCCCUAGGAGGUGGCAUCACGAGCAUCAAGUACAAGAUUGCUGUCGCUGCGGCAAAGGAGCUCGGGCUCCUCGACCAAGAAUACAACAGGCUCGAAGAAAGGAAUGAAGAGCUACUGUACUACUCCUAUGGCGACUUUGACCAGGAUACCUCUCGAGAAUUGGAAAGUUAUGUGAAGAACAAAAUUGUUCCUCGGAUCAUCAAGCAGUUGUCAACAGAGAAGUAUUUUCUAAUGGUCGAGAACCUCCAGUUGCCCAUUGAGCUUGGUAGUUUCACAUUGGAUGUUGGGCUUCCACCGCCCACUUGGGCAGAUUCUUGUUGGUUCAUCUCAACCACUUCUCAUGAUGCCUACAACGAGAGCAAGUCAAAAGAUGAUAUACUUAUCUCCAUUAACGAAGAUGACUUUGUAAUGGUACUUAUCAUAUACUCAAUGCUUCAUUCAGCCUAUGACAUACUCAACAAGACUCAUCAAGAACAUGAGGAUUGGUUUGACAUUGCCCUCAAUUGCUUCCACUAUGCCAUAACAGUAUUUGCGCAAUAUUCACCGUGGAUUUUUACCUCGGAUGAGCUCAUUCACCACUGGACCGCCCUAGGUAUCCUGCCUGGUUUCACCAUCAAGGAAGAAGAAGAAAUUGGGACCUACAUAAGCAAGUGUGCCUAUAUGGAGCAAGUUGGGACGGUCAUCCUUGAAGUUUUUGAGAAAUACUCUUUGUUGCAGCUACCAUUUUCUCAUGCAAAUGAAGCUUAUGAAGCCACCAGUACCAGCGCACAGUUCUUAGCAUACCAUGGCCUCGUUGCAAAAGGCAUCACAGUUGAUGAACUCUUGGAAAACAAGAAGAAAUGGAUUUCAUUCGUUGGUGACCAUGGAUGGCAUGUAAGCCUGGAAUGGUUGAACCCAGAGGAAACAAAGGGGACACAUGCACUUAUUCUAAGAGGCUGCCAUACAUCGCCCAUUCUUUCCAAGCUGGACAAUUUCUUGUCCGAACUUCCGUUUCUUCGUGUUCUUGAUCUCUCAUAUACUCCAACAAAAACACUCCCUUCUUCCAUCGGUUGCCUACUGAACCUUCGGCUACUUGCACUUAGAGGCUGCCAUGAUCUCAAAAGCCUUUCCAGUUCAUCCGCAACAAGUGCCACAGACUCACCAACAAAUAUAAGCUCAUCAUCACCAUUGUCCACUCUAUACCAACUUGAAAUUCUUGAUAUGAAUGGAGCUCCUUUUUCUCAUCUGACACAAGAUAUGGCCAGCCAAAUGAGCAAUUUGAUAUACCUUGACAUGUCCUAUUCAUUAAUCACUACUUUUCCUCCCAAUUUUUUCAAGGAUGUGUCUAAUCUCGAAGAGCUUAUUCUUGUCAGCUGCUCCAACCUUGUGGAGCUACCUCCUUCCAUGGCUCUGUUAUCCACCUUAACAACCCUUGAGAUUAGUGGGAGUCAAAUAAAAUACUUCCCACAAAAGAUGUUUGAAGAAAUGUUGAAGCUACAUUCGAUCAAGCUCAUUGACAACAAGGAAUUGAUUUCACUUACAGGACCAAUAUCGAGUGACCAAGGAAUCAAAUUGGAAGGGCAAACUAACCUUGUAUCCUUCGUUUUGAUAGGCGCAUCUCACAUAAGGUGCUUGUCUUUACGUGGAUGUAGAAAACUUGAGUCUAUUGAGAUCAAGGAUCUUGGAGCUUUGGAGGAAAUUGAUUUGCCUUGUACAGCUAUCAUGGAGUUUCCUGUAGAUAUCAUUAAUUCCACCCAGCUUAGGCGAUUGCUCCUGCAGGGUGUUCCUUCUCUGAGGAGAUUUCCGUGGCAUAAGCUAGAGCGACUCCCAGAUGUGUUUUACUUGGAUCAGUGCACAGAAGGAGAUGGUAAUUACUCUGAUGAAAUUUGCCAAGUGUGUGUUAGUGACCCCAGUUUCUUCCUUAGCUUUCGUGAUUCUGUCGUGGACUUAGUGGAAGAUGGAUGGUUUUUUCAAUCAUUCUAUGUUAGAGUCGCACCAUGCAAUUCACAUAGCAGACAACAACAAGAUGAAGAAGACAUGCUAGAUAGCAAGUUGCAGCUGUUUGUGCAGAAUCAAUCGACAUAUGUUGAUGCAUAUAGCAGUUGCUAUGCAGAGGAAAUCAGAAUUGAGUCGCCAGUUACAGUCCCGUUUCACCGAACCGAGCGCCAUGUAGAGAUCACAGGGAUGAAAGACCCAACUAUUGGUUUAUGUGAUCUUCUGAAUGUCACCACAUCAAUAUCAGUGACAUGUGAUACUUCUAUGGAAUAUUUUUCUGACUUGAGCGGUCAUGGUGAGUCAGGCUGGACGGAGCGAGCGGGCUUCUCGGCCCGCUCGUGGCCCGUUCGGUCCUGGCCCGCUGAAGAAUUUGUUCGGUCCGGUUACUAA
Molecule: ribosomal RNA, 2664 nt
Filed under: Triticum aestivum (bread wheat)
Lineage: Eukaryota; Viridiplantae; Streptophyta; Magnoliopsida; Poales; Poaceae
Description: partial small subunit ribosomal RNA
Source: RNAcentral